CCCCUUCAGACCCUCUCUCACUCCGUUUUCCGCAGCGUGAGUGAAGCCCGGGUGAGGUGUUUUCCCACACGCCGGGGGCCCGGAGCUGAGAGGGGGCAUGGCCAGCAUCACGCAGCUGUUCGACGACCUGUGUGAGGCCCUCCUGCCGGCUGCCAAGACUCACCUGGGCCAGCGCAGUGUGAACCGGAAGACGGCAAAGCGGAACCUCAAGAAGGUGGCCUACAGUGCGCUGUUCACAAAUCUUUUUCAAGAUGAGACUCAACAGCUGCAGCUUGACAUGUCAAAACUACCAGCGAGAAACAAGAUCCUCAUGUUGUCCUUUGACUUGAGAGUGGGUGGCCGGGGCCCCGAGGCCGACCGUCUGGAGGAGCUUGUGGAGGAGCUUGAAGCAGCCCCUUGCUGUCCGCUUUUGGAGGUGGGGUCUGUUUUGGACCUCCUGGUUCAGCUGGCAGGGAGUGGUCCCCCUCAACUUCUGCGGAGAAAUCGAGACUACUUCCUCAACAACAAGCACGUGGGGAGAAACGUUCCGUAUAGCGGCUAUGAUUGCGACCACCUGAGUGUGUUUGAGACGGACGUUCAGUCUCUGAUCUCCAGAGAAGAGUGUUUGUGUCACAGCAUGAUCCAGGAAACACUUCAGGUUAUGGAGGCUGCUCCAGGCACCGGCCUACCCACCGUCGGGCUCUUCUCAUUUGGUGACCCUUGUGGUGACAGGUUUGAGAGAGACACCCGUGUCUCGCUCUUCGGGGCCCUUGUGCACAGCCGCACUUACGACAUGGACGUCCGACUGGGCCUGCCCCCUGUGCCAGACAAUGCAGACCUGUCUGGGCUGGCCAUUAAGGUCCCACCGAAUGUGGAUCAGUGGGAAGACGAAGGAUUCCAGUCAGCGUCCAACCUGACUCCUGAUUCCCAGUCUGAGCCCAGCAUGACCCCAGACGUGGACCUGUGGGAAGCCGCACUCACCUAUGAGGCCAGCAAGCGGAGGUGCUGGGAGCGAGUUGGCUGCCCCCCUGGCCACAGAGAGGAGCCUUACUUGACAGAGGCGGGAAGGGACGCUUUCGACAAGUUCUGCAGGCUCCGCCAAGGGGAGCUUCAGCUGCUUGCUGGGGGCGUCCUACAGGCCGCGCAGCCCGUGCUGGUGAAGGAGUGUGAGCUGGUGAAAGAUGUGCUGAACGUCUUGAUUGGGGUCGUGUCUGCCACGUUUUCCCUCUGCCAGCCGGCCCAGGCCUUUGUGGUGAAGCGGGGUGUCCACGUGUCAGGAGCGUCUCCCGAGAGCAUCAGCAGCCUGCUCUCGGAGGUGGCCGAGUAUGGGACCUGCUACACACGCCUGAGUCACUUCUCUCUGCAACCUGUCCUGGACUCUUCGUACAGCAAAGGCCUCGUGUUCCAGGCCUUCACCAGUGGCCUGAGGAGGUACCUGCAGUAUUACCGGGCCUGCGUCCUUUCCACUUCGCCCACCCUGAGCCUCCUCACCAUUGGUUUUCUCUUCAAGAAACUGGGCCGGCAGCUCAGGUACCUGGCCGAGCUCUGUGGCGUUGGUGCUGUGCUCCCAGGCACCUGCGGAGGAGGCCCCAGGGCUGCGUUUCCCACCGGUGUGAAGCUGCUGUCCUACCUCUACCAGGAGGCGCUGCACAACUGCAGCAACGAGCACUACCCUGUGCUGCUGUCCCUGCUGAAGACCAGCUGCGAGCCCUACACCCGGUUCAUCCAUGACUGGGUGUACAGCGGGGUGUUCAGAGACGCUUAUGGCGAGUUCAUGAUUCAGGUGAACCACGAGUACCUCAGCUUCCGAGAUAAGUCGUACUGGACACAUGGCUACGUGCUCAUCUCCAAAGAGGUGGAGGACUGUGUUCCCGUGUUUCUGAAGCACAUUGCCCACGACGUGUACGUCUGCGGGAAGACCAUUAACCUGCUGAAGCUCUGCUGCCCCCGGCAUUACCUCUGUUGGUCUGACGUCCCCGUCCCCCGGAUCUCGGUGAUUUUCUCCCUCGAGGAGUUGAAGGAGAUUGAAAAGGACUGUGCCGUCUAUGUCGGGCGCAUGGAGAGGGUGGCCCGCCACAGCUCCGUCAGCAAGGAGGAGAAGGAAUUACGUAUGGAAAUUGCAAAACAAGAAUUAAUUGCUCAUGCCCGGGAAGCAGCAUCCAGGGUCCUGAGUGCACUGAGUGACCGGCAGAUGUCAGAACGGAUGGCCUUGGACGCCCGAAAGCGCGAGCAGUUUCAGAGGCUGAAAGAACAGUUUGUGAAGGACCAGGAGCGACGCCAGGCGGCCAGGCAGGAGGAGCUGGAGGAUGACUUCAGCUACGCCCGUGAGCUCCGAGACAGGGAGAGGAGGCUGAAGUCCCUGGAGGAGGAGCUGGAGAGGAAGGCGAGGCAGGCGCUGGUCGACCACUACAGCAAGCUCUCUGCAGAGGCAGCUCGUCGGGAGCAGAAGGCGCUGUGGAGAAUCCAGAGGCACCGACUGGAGAGUGCACGGCUUCGUUUUCUCUUAGAAGAUGAGAAACACGUUCAGGAGAGGGCUGGUGGCUCUCGUGUUUGCAGCAGAGCACUGUCUCUCCCCUGCGUGCCACCAAAUUGCACAGAUACAGGUGGUGAGGAGCUCGUGGUUUUGAAGUACUUUCUGCAGGCCCAAGGUCCCAGUGGAGCCCAGCACAAGCCUUGUCUGGUUCAGUACACACGGUUGCCAUGGGUGGUAGGGGCUGUGCUUGACUCCAGCUCUGCUGGUCACCCCUCUGACUUGAAUUUACAGGAGAUGCUGAAAGCAAUGUCUGAGGGUCACCAGCCCCAGGAGCCGCCAGAUGUCCUGAGCGUGCACCCCCAGGUCACAUCUCUGGGCCCUGAGCACCAAGAGGGAGACCAAGGCUGUGAUGCUGGGCCUGCGGAGCAACACUUGGCUGCCUGGGAUGGCCGGAACAGGCCAGGCCUGCUGACCCCACAGUCCCUUAAGCCUCUAGCAAUGGGGGCUGGUGGCACAGGGCUGCAGCAGGCGGAGGAGGCCGGACCCUUCUCUGACAGCCUCAGCAUUGGAGACUUCCUACCUGUGGGCCCAGGGGCUGAGCAGUCCGUGCAGACUGGCAUGGUCCCUCUCCUGGAGGCGGCGCUGCAGACCAUCAAUUUGGACCUGCCCCCCUCAGCUCCUGGGGAGGCACCCGCAGCAGCCAGCACUCAGCCUUCCAGGCCACAGGAGUACGACUUUAGUACUGUCCUGAGGCCAGCUGCGGCCGCUUCACCUGCACCAGGACCCCUGAAGGCUGCAGAGUGUAACUUGGGCAGCUCCGGACCACAGCUGUGGGAGGACAGUUGUGGGAAGCUGGAUGCCUGUGGCUCCACCUUACAGGUGGCUCUGUCCCCCUCACACCCACCCAGGCGUGCCACUCCGAAGGAGGGUAGCAGCCAGCCCACGGAGCAGCUCUUCGGGCACGAGUCAGGAGGUGGUCUUCCCACAGGGGGCUGUGCUUCUGAAAUAGCUCUCACCCGGCCACAGUGGAACAUCCACAGGCACGUGUCUGACGCCAGCAUCAGGGUCGGGGAGAACGUGUCACAAGUGGCUCCCGCCCGGCCACGGUGGAACACCCAUGGACACGUGUCCGAUGCGAGCAUCAGCUUGGGGGAGUCUGUGUCAGAGGUGGCUCCCACUCGGCCACGGUGGAACAUCCAUGGGCACGUGUCUGACGCCAGCAUCAGGGUCGGGGAGAACGUGUCGGAUGUGGCUCCCACCCGGCCACGGUGGAACGCCCAUGGACACGUGUCUGACGCCAGCAUCAGCUUGGGGGAGCCUGUGUCGGACGUGGUUUCCACCCGGCCACGGUGGAACGCCCAUGGACACGUGUCCGAUGCGAGCAUCAGCUUGGGGGAGCCUGUGUCGGACGUGGCUCCCACCCGGCCACGGUGGAACAUCCAUGGACACGUGUCUGACGCCAGCAUCAGCUUGGGGGAGUCUGUGUCAGAGGUGGCUCCCACCCGGCCACGGUGGAACACCCGUGCAUCCGUCCCUCCGCCCCACAUGAUGCUGGGGGCUGUCUCACCAGAAGCUGGGCCCAACACACCCGCGCCCCAACAGAGCCCCCCUGGCCACACGUCCCAGUCAGUGCUCAGCCCGGGAGCACAGAGCACUGUGCUGGACUGUGGGCCACGGCUGCCUGUAGAAUUGGGGCCAUCUCUGUCCUCCCCCAGCUCAGGCUGCGGGGAGGGGAGCAUCAGCAUCGGGGAGAAUGUGUCAGACGUGGCUCCCACCUGGCCAUGGUUGCCCAACACUCCAGGAGACAGUGUCUCUGAAGAACUAGGCCCUGGGAGGAGCGGGGACGCUGAGGAGCCUCUGAACUCACAGGAAAACGCAGCUGCCCAGAGCAGCCUAGGCCCUGGUGAGGAGGCGGCAGUGGCGGCGGAGGCUCGGGGCAGUGAGCAGGCCUACCUGGCAGGCCUGGCAGGGCAGUACCACUUGGAGCGGUACCCGGACAGUUACGAGUCCAUGUUGUGUGCUCCAUCUCCUGCAGCUGAGCCGCCCAUCGCUCACCUUUUGCGCCCCGUGCUUCCCCGGGCUUUCGCCUUUCCCGUGGACCCCCAGGUCCAGUCUGCCGCGGAUGAGACUGCCGUGCAGCUGAGCGAGUUGCUGACGCUGCCCGUGCUCAUGAAGCACUCCAUCAUGGCACCAUUGGCCGCCCACAUCUCCUUGGUGAACAAGGCUGCCGUCGACUACUUCUUUGUGGAGCUGCACCUGGAGGCACACUACGAGGCGCUGCGGCACUUCCUGCUGAUGGAGGACGGCGAGUUCGCCCAGUCCCUCAGCGACCUGCUCUUUGAGAAGGUGACCUCCGGACAUGGAGUGGGGCCAGUGGUAGAGGGGAGGCCGUGGGAAAGGAGAUUGGCUGCAGGCCCACAGACCCAUGGGGCGCCAGCAAGUGCCAGGUAUGUGCUUGGGACUCCUGGGGACACUGGUCCCUUUUCUGCCCAGCUUGGGGCCGGGCAGACACCCGGGGAGCUGCUCAACCCACUGGUGCUGAACUCUGUGCUGAGCAAGGCCCUGCAGUGCAGCCUUCAUGGGGACACCCCGCACGCCUCCAACCUCUCCCUCGCCCUCAAGUACCUGCCCGAGGUGUUUGCCCCCAACGCCCCAGAUGUGCUGAGCUGCCUGGAGCUCAGGUGGACUGGCCGCUCAACGUUGUCAUCACUGAGGGCUGCCUGAGCAAGUACAGUGGCGUCUUCUCCUUCCUGCUGCAGCUGAAGCUCAUGAUGUGGGCGCUCAAGGAUAUCUGCUUCCACCUCAAGCGCACAGCCCUGCUGAGCCACAUGGCCAGCUCCGUGCAGUUCCGCCAGCUGCAGCUGUUCAAGCACGAAAUGCAGCACUUCGUGAAGGUCAUCCAGGGCUACAUCGCCAACCAGAUCCUGCACGUCACCUGGUGUGAGUUCAGGGCCAGGCUGGCCACCGUGGGCGACCUGGAGGAGAUCCAGCGUGCACAUGCAGAGUACUUGCACAAGGCCGUCUUCAGGUGAGGCCCGGGCAGCGGCUGUCCCCCUGUGGUCGUGGUUGAGCCCACCCAGCAGCACUGCCUCCCCGCAGGGGCCUGCUCACGGAGAAGGCAGCGCCUGUCAUGAACGUCAUCCACAGCAUCUUCAGCCUUGUGCUCAAAUUCCGCAGCCAGCUCAUUUCCCAAGCCUGGGGCCCUGCUGGGGGUCCGCGGGGUGCAGAGCACCCCAACUUUGCACUCAUGCAGCAGUCCUACAACACCUUCAAGUACUACUCCCACUUUCUCUUCAAAGUGGUGACCAAGCUGGUGAACCGCGGCUACCAGCCCCACCUGGAGGACUUUCUGCUGCGCAUCAACUUCAACAACUACUACCAGGACACCUGAGGCUGCUCUGCGGGGGACAUG
Molecule: RNA transcript, 5864 nt
Organism: Rhinopithecus roxellana (golden snub-nosed monkey)
Lineage: Eukaryota; Metazoa; Chordata; Mammalia; Primates; Cercopithecidae
Gene: TUBGCP6
Gene name: tubulin gamma complex associated protein 6
Exons: 23
Source: RefSeq, a predicted model, not a curated record